CCUACGGGCGGCUGCAGUGGGGAAUAUUGGACAAUGGGCGAAAGCCUGAUCCAGCCAUGCCGCGUGUGUGAAGAAGGCCUUCGGGUUGUAAAGCACUUUCAGUGGGGAAGAAAGCCUUGGGGCUAAUACCCUCGAGGAAGGACAUCACCCACAGAAGAAGCACCGGCUAACUCCGUGCCAGCAGCCGCGGUAAUACGGAGGGUGCGAGCGUUAAUCGGAAUUACUGGGCGUAAAGCGCGCGUAGGCGGUCUGAUAAGCCGGUUGUGAAAGCCCCGGGCUCAACCUGGGAACGGCAUCCGGAACUGUCAGGCUAGAGUGCAGGAGAGGAAGGUAGAAUUCCCGGUGUAGCGGUGAAAUGCGUAGAGAUCGGGAGGAAUACCAGUGGCGAAGGCGGCCUUCUGGACUGACACUGACGCUGAGGUGCGAAAGCGUGGGGAGCAAACAGGAUUAGAUACCCCAGUAGUC
This 465-nucleotide ribosomal RNA is filed under the name Vreelandella stevensii. Its description in RNAcentral is "partial 16S ribosomal RNA". It matches the Rfam family "Bacterial small subunit ribosomal RNA", at positions 338 to 795 of the family's 1533-position model. The record is from RNAcentral. Lineage: Bacteria; Pseudomonadati; Pseudomonadota; Gammaproteobacteria; Oceanospirillales; Halomonadaceae.